CAGCGCCAUGGUGUAACUGUUUGAAUCGCUUCAAGCCGCGAUACGAGUCGGCAGGCAUCAAAAGAAUAAUCGAUACCGGUAUCGUUUUACGUAUCGUUUGAAAUACAUAGUUCAAUUACAAAUAAUUAAAAUACAUCUCUAGAAAGAAUCCUUGCAACAAAAUUACUUCAAAUCAUGUUUCCUUUACAAAUAGACUCCUUAAUCUGAGACUGCUACAUUUAAAUUGUUCAAAAUUCAUAAGUUAAUAACAAUCACCUACCAUGAACAACCACCUAUUAGAAUAAUUCCAGGCGUUCAAAGCUUCAUCAAUGAAAGGAUGGGUGUCUGUGCAAGAAGAAGCAUACUCUCUGGCACCCCAUUUUACGCUUGGGGGGGAUGGAGUUUUUUAACUUUCCUUGGAAUCCUCGUGGCAAUCGGACUGUUUUAUUAUCAUUUCAUUUAUAAAUCCUCCUGAAAGAAUAGUAAUGACUUCAUUUCAAAUCUGGCCCAGCCCGAAGGAAGAAAAGGAGGGGGAUAUUACCUAAACUUUCAUGGUGAGGAUUAGGAAGAAAUGCAUUCCAGAAAAUAAAAGAAAAUAUGAUUUUUUAUAAUUUACAAAAAUCCAUAUAAAAUAUAAUAGAUGUUCAAAUUC
Long non-coding RNA from Osmia lignaria (orchard mason bee), 631 nucleotides. RefSeq lists it as uncharacterized. NCBI's taxonomy places the organism in Eukaryota, Metazoa, Arthropoda, Insecta, Hymenoptera, Megachilidae. The record is from RefSeq and is a predicted model, not a curated record.